Molecule: ribosomal RNA, 508 nt
Filed under: uncultured bacterium
Lineage: Bacteria
Description: partial 16S ribosomal RNA
Rfam family: Bacterial small subunit ribosomal RNA
Source: RNAcentral
GACGAACGCUGGCGGCGUGCCUAAUACAUGCAAGUCGAACGCUUCUUUCCUCCCGAGUGCUUGCACUCAAUUGGAAAGAGGAGUGGCGGACGGGUGAGUAACACGUGGGUAACCUACCCAUCAGAGGGGGAUAACACUUGGAAACAGGUGCUAAUACCGCAUAACAGUUUAUGCCGCAUGGCAUAAGAGUGAAAGGCGCUUUCGGGUGUCGCUGAUGGAUGGACCCGCGGUGCAUUAGCUAGUUGGUGAGGUAACGGCUCACCAAGGCCACGAUGCAUAGCCGACCUGAGAGGGUGGUCGGCCACACUGGGACUGAGACACGGCCCAGACUCCUACGGGAGGCAGCAGUAGGGAAUCUUCGGCAAUGGACGAAAGUCUGACCGAGCAACGCCGCGUGAGUGAAGAAGGUUUUCGGAUCGUAAAGCUCUGUUGUUAGAGAAGAACAAGGACGUUAGUAACUGAACGUCCCCUGACGGUAUCUAACCAGAAAGCCACGGCUAACUACGUG